This 2351-nucleotide ribosomal RNA is filed under the name human gut metagenome. Its description in RNAcentral is "bacterial LSU rRNA". It matches the Rfam family "Bacterial large subunit ribosomal RNA", at positions 591 to 2925 of the family's 2925-position model. The record is from RNAcentral.
GUGUGACUGCGUACCUUUUGUAUAAUGGGUCAGCGACUUAUAUUCUGUAGCAAGGUUAACCGAAUAGGGGAGCCGAAGGGAAACCGAGUCUUAACUGGGCGUUAAGUUGCAGGGUAUAGACCCGAAACCCGGUGAUCUAGCCAUGGGCAGGUUGAAGGUUGGGUAACACUAACUGGAGGACCGAACCGACUAAUGUUGAAAAAUUAGCGGAUGACUUGUGGCUGGGGGUGAAAGGCCAAUCAAACCGGGAGAUAGCUGGUUCUCCCCGAAAGCUAUUUAGGUAGCGCCUCGUGAAUUCAUCUCCGGGGGUAGAGCACUGUUUCGGCAAGGGGGUCAUCCCGACUUACCAACCCGAUGCAAACUGCGAAUACCGGAGAAUGUUAUCACGGGAGACACACGGCGGGUGCUAACGUCCGUCGUGAAGAGGGAAACAACCCAGACCGCCAGCUAAGGUCCCAAAGUCAUGGUUAAGUGGGAAACGAUGUGGGAAGGCCCAGACAGCCAGGAUGUUGGCUUAGAAGCAGCCAUCAUUUAAAGAAAGCGUAAUAGCUCACUGGUCGAGUCGGCCUGCGCGGAAGAUGUAACGGGGCUAAACCAUGCACCGAAGCUGCGGCAGCGACGCUGAUGCGUUGUUGGGUAGGGGAGCGUUCUGUAAGCCUGCGAAGGUGUACUGUGAGGUAUGCUGGAGGUAUCAGAAGUGCGAAUGCUGACAUAAGUAACGAUAAAGCGGGUGAAAAGCCCGCUCGCCGGAAGACCAAGGGUUCCUGUCCAACGUUAAUCGGGGCAGGGUGAGUCGACCCCUAAGGCGAGGCCGAAAGGCGUAGUCGAUGGGAAACAGGUUAAUAUUCCUGUACUUGGUGUUACUGCGAAGGGGGGACGGAGAAGGCUAUGUUGGCCGGGCGACGGUUGUCCCGGUUUAAGCGUGUAGGCUGGUUUUCCAGGCAAAUCCGGAAAAUCAAGGCUGAGGCGUGAUGACGAGGCACUACGGUGCUGAAGCAACAAAUGCCCUGCUUCCAGGAAAAGCCUCUAAGCAUCAGGUAACAUCAAAUCGUACCCCAAACCGACACAGGUGGUCAGGUAGAGAAUACCAAGGCGCUUGAGAGAACUCGGGUGAAGGAACUAGGCAAAAUGGUGCCGUAACUUCGGGAGAAGGCACGCUGAUAUGUAGGUGAAGUCCCUCGCGGAUGGAGCUGAAAUCAGUCGAAGAUACCAGCUGGCUGCAACUGUUUAUUAAAAACACAGCACUGUGCAAACACGAAAGUGGACGUAUACGGUGUGACGCCUGCCCGGUGCCGGAAGGUUAAUUGAUGGGGUCAGCGCAAGCGAAGCUCUUGAUCGAAGCCCCGGUAAACGGCGGCCGUAACUAUAACGGUCCUAAGGUAGCGAAAUUCCUUGUCGGGUAAGUUCCGACCUGCACGAAUGGCGUAAUGAUGGCCAGGCUGUCUCCACCCGAGACUCAGUGAAAUUGAACUCGCUGUGAAGAUGCAGUGUACCCGCGGCAAGACGGAAAGACCCCGUGAACCUUUACUAUAGCUUGACACUGAACAUUGAGCCUUGAUGUGUAGGAUAGGUGGGAGGCUUUGAAGUGUGGACGCCAGUCUGCAUGGAGCCGACCUUGAAAUACCACCCUUUAAUGUUUGAUGUUCUAACGUUGACCCGUAAUCCGGGUUGCGGACAGUGUCUGGUGGGUAGUUUGACUGGGGCGGUCUCCUCCUAAAGAGUAACGGAGGAGCACGAAGGUUGGCUAAUCCUGGUCGGACAUCAGGAGGUUAGUGCAAUGGCAUAAGCCAGCUUGACUGCGAGCGUGACGGCGCGAGCAGGUGCGAAAGCAGGUCAUAGUGAUCCGGUGGUUCUGAAUGGAAGGGCCAUCGCUCAACGGAUAAAAGGUACUCCGGGGAUAACAGGCUGAUACCGCCCAAGAGUUCAUAUCGACGGCGGUGUUUGGCACCUCGAUGUCGGCUCAUCACAUCCUGGGGCUGAAGUAGGUCCCAAGGGUAUGGCUGUUCGCCAUUUAAAGUGGUACGCGAGCUGGGUUUAGAACGUCGUGAGACAGUUCGGUCCCUAUCUGCCGUGGGCGCUGGAGAACUGAGGGGGGCUGCUCCUAGUACGAGAGGACCGGAGUGGACGCAUCACUGGUGUUCGGGUUGUCAUGCCAAUGGCACUGCCCGGUAGCUAAAUGCGGAAGAGAUAAGUGCUGAAAGCAUCUAAGCACGAAACUUGCCCCGAGAUGAGUUCUCCCUGACUCCUUGAGAGUCCUGAAGGAACGUUGAAGACGACGACGUUGAUAGGCCGGGUGUGUAAGCGCAGCGAUGCGUUGAGCUAACCGGUACUAAUGAACCGUGAGGCUUAAC